This 2927-nucleotide ribosomal RNA is filed under the name Klebsiella oxytoca. Its description in RNAcentral is "23S ribosomal RNA". It matches the Rfam family "Bacterial large subunit ribosomal RNA". The record is from RNAcentral. Lineage: Bacteria; Pseudomonadati; Pseudomonadota; Gammaproteobacteria; Enterobacterales; Enterobacteriaceae.
GGGUUGUGAGGUUAAGCGACUAAGCGUACACGGUGGAUGCCCUGGCAGUCAGAGGCGAUGAAGGACGUGCUAAUCUGCGAAAAGCGUCGGUAAGGUGAUAUGAACCGUUAUAGCCGGCGAUGUCCGAAUGGGGAAACCCAGUGCAAUUCGUUGCACUAUCGUUUGAUGAAUACAUAGUCAAACGAGGCGAACCGGGGGAACUGAAACAUCUAAGUACCCCGAGGAAAAGAAAUCAACCGAGAUUCCCCCAGUAGCGGCGAGCGAACGGGGAGCAGCCCGGAGUCUGAAUCAGCGUGUGUGUUAGUGGAACGGUCUGGAAAGUCCGACGGUACAGGGUGAUAGUCCCGUACACCAAAAUGCACAUACUGUGAACUCGAAGAGUAGGGCGGGACACGUGGUAUCCUGUCUGAAUAUGGGGGGACCAUCCUCCAAGGCUAAAUACUCCUGACUGACCGAUAGUGAACCAGUACCGUGAGGGAAAGGCGAAAAGAACCCCGGCGAGGGGAGUGAAAAAGAACCUGAAACCGUGUACGUACAAGCAGUAGGAGCCUCCAUGUGGGGUGACUGCGUACCUUUUGUAUAAUGGGUCAGCGACUUAUAUUCUGUAGCAAGGUUAACCGUAUAGGGGAGCCGCAGGGAAACCGAGUCUUAACUGGGCGUUAAGUUGCAGGGUAUAGACCCGAAACCCGGUGAUCUAGCCAUGGGCAGGUUGAAGGUUGGGUAACACUAACUGGAGGACCGAACCGACUAAUGUUGAAAAAUUAGCGGAUGACUUGUGGCUGGGGGUGAAAGGCCAAUCAAACCGGGAGAUAGCUGGUUCUCCCCGAAAGCUAUUUAGGUAGCGCCUCGUGAACUCAUCUUCGGGGGUAGAGCACUGUUUCGGCUAGGGGGUCAUCCCGACUUACCAACCCGAUGCAAACUACGAAUACCGAAGAAUGUUAUCACGGGAGACACACGGCGGGUGCUAACGUCCGUCGUGAAGAGGGAAACAACCCAGACCGCCAGCUAAGGUCCCAAAGUCAUGGUUAAGUGGGAAACGAUGUGGGAAGGCCCAGACAGCCAGGAUGUUGGCUUAGAAGCAGCCAUCAUUUAAAGAAAGCGUAAUAGCUCACUGGUCGAGUCGGCCUGCGCGGAAGAUGUAACGGGGCUAAACCAUGCACCGAAGCUGCGGCAGCGACACGAUGUGUUGUUGGGUAGGGGAGCGUUCUGUAAGCCGUUGAAGGUGGCCUGUGAGGGCUGCUGGAGGUAUCAGAAGUGCGAAUGCUGACAUAAGUAACGAUAAUGCGGGUGAAAAACCCGCACGCCGGAAGACCAAGGGUUCCUGUCCAACGUUAAUCGGGGCAGGGUGAGUCGACCCCUAAGGCGAGGCCGAAAGGCGUAGUCGAUGGGAAACAGGUUAAUAUUCCUGUACUUGGUGUUACUGCGAAGGGGGGACGGAGAAGGCUAUGUUGGCCGGGCGACGGUUGUCCCGGUUUAAGCAUGUAGGCGGAGGCUCCAGGUAAAUCCGGAACCUUAUUAACGCUGAGGUGUGAUGACGAGGCACUACGGUGCUGAAGUGACAAAUGCCCUGCUUCCAGGAAAAGCCUCUAAGCAUCAGGUAACAUCAAAUCGUACCCCAAACCGACACAGGUGGUCAGGUAGAGAAUACCCAGGCGCUUGAGAGAACUCGGGUGAAGGAACUAGGCAAAAUGGUGCCGUAACUUCGGGAGAAGGCACGCUGAUGGUAGGUGAAGUGACUUGCUCAUGGAGCUGAACUCAGUCGAAGAUACCAGCUGGCUGCAACUGUUUAUUAAAAACACAGCACUGUGCAAACACGAAAGUGGACGUAUACGGUGUGACGCCUGCCCGGUGCCGGAAGGUUAAUUGAUGGGGUUAUCCUCGCGGAGAAGCUCUUGAUCGAAGCCCCGGUAAACGGCGGCCGUAACUAUAACGGUCCUAAGGUAGCGAAAUUCCUUGUCGGGUAAGUUCCGACCUGCACGAAUGGCGUAAUGAUGGCCAGGCUGUCUCCACCCGAGACUCAGUGAAAUUGAACUCGCUGUGAAGAUGCAGUGUACCCGCGGCAAGACGGAAAGACCCCGUGAACCUUUACUAUAGCUUGACACUGAACACUGGUCCUUGAUGUGUAGGAUAGGUGGGAGGCUUUGAAGUGUGGACGCCAGUCUGCAUGGAGCCAUCCUUGAAAUACCACCCUUUAAUGGCUGGUGUUCUAACGUGGGCCCGUAAUCCGGGUUGCGGACAGUGUCUGGUGGGUAGUUUGACUGGGGCGGUCUCCUCCCAAAGCGUAACGGAGGAGCACGAAGGUCAGCUAAUCCUGGUCGGACAUCAGGAGGUUAGUGCAAUGGCAUAAGCUGGCUUGACUGCGAGCGUGACGGCGCGAGCAGGUGCGAAAGCAGGUCAUAGUGAUCCGGUGGUUCUGAAUGGAAGGGCCAUCGCUCAACGGAUAAAAGGUACUCCGGGGAUAACAGGCUGAUACCGCCCAAGAGUUCAUAUCGACGGCGGUGUUUGGCACCUCGAUGUCGGCUCAUCACAUCCUGGGGCUGAAGUAGGUCCCAAGGGUAUGGCUGUUCGCCAUUUAAAGUGGUACGCGAGCUGGGUUUAGAACGUCGUGAGACAGUUCGGUCCCUAUCUGCCGUGGGCGCUGGAGAAUUGAGGGGGGCUGCUCCUAGUACGAGAGGACCGGAGUGGACGCAUCACUGGUGUUCGGGUUGUCAUGCCAAUGGCAUUGCCCGGUAGCUAAAUGCGGAAGAGAUAAGUGCUGAAAGCAUCUAAGCACGAAACUUGCCCCGAGAUGAGUUCUCCCUGACUCCUUGAGAGUCCUGAAGGAACGUUGAAGACGACGACGUUGAUAGGCCGGGUGUGUAAGCGCAGCGAUGCGUUGAGCUAACCGGUACUAAUGAACCGUGAGGCUUAACCUUACAACGCCGAAG